RNAcentral lists this non-coding RNA (26 nucleotides) under Homo sapiens (human). The record is from RNAcentral. Lineage: Eukaryota; Metazoa; Chordata; Mammalia; Primates; Hominidae.
UAGCCAGGUCAGCCAUGGUGAGUGGA